GAUGAACGCUGGCGGCGUGCCUAAUACAUGCAAGUCGAGCGAACGGACGAGAAGCUUGCUUCUCUGAUGUUAGCGGCGGACGGGUGAGUAACACGUGGAUAACCUACCUAUAAGACUGGGAUAACUUCGGGAAACCGGAGCUAAUACCGGAUGAUAUUUUGAACCGCAUGGUUCAAAAGUGAAAGACGGUCUUGCUGCCACUUAUAGAUGGAUCCGCGCUGCAUUAGCUAGUUGGUAAGGUAACGGCUUACCAAGGCAACGAUGCAUAGCCGACCUGGGAGGGUGAUCGGCCACACUGGAACUGAGACACGGUCCAGACUCCUACGGGAGGCAGCAGUAGGGAAUCUUCCGCAAUGGGCGAAAGCCUGACGGAGCAACGCCGCGUGAGUGAUGAAGGUCUUCGGAUCGUAAAACUCUGUUAUUAGGGAAGAACAUAUGUGUAAGUAACUGUGCACAUCUUGACGGUACCUAAUCAGAAAGCCACGGCUAACUACGUG
RNAcentral lists this ribosomal RNA (497 nucleotides) under uncultured bacterium. RNAcentral describes it as "partial 16S ribosomal RNA". It matches the Rfam family "Bacterial small subunit ribosomal RNA", at positions 28 to 507 of the family's 1533-position model. The record is from RNAcentral.